RNAcentral lists this ribosomal RNA (507 nucleotides) under uncultured bacterium. RNAcentral's name for it is "partial 16S ribosomal RNA". The record is from RNAcentral.
GGAGUUAGCCGGUGCUUCUUCUGUGAGUGAUGUCCUUCCUGCCGGCUAUUAACCCGCAGGCCUUCUUCCUCACUGAAAGUGCUUUACAACCCGAAGGCCUUCUUCACACACGCGGCAUGGCUGGAUCAGGGUUGCACCCAUUGUCCAAUAUUCCCCACUGCUGCCUCCCGUAGGAGUCUGGGCCGUGUCUCAGUCCCAGUGUGGCUGAUCAUCCUCUCAGACCAGCUACGGAUCGUCGCCUUGGUGAGCCGUUACCUCACCAACCAGCUAAUCCGACAUAGGCUCAUCCGAUAGCGCGAGGCCCGAAGGUCCCCCGCUUUCCCCCGUAGGGCGUAUGCGGUAUUAGCCUGGGUUUCCCCAGGUUAUCCCCCACUACCGGGCAGAUUCCUAUGCAUUACUCACCCGUCCGCCGCUCGCCACCAGGGAGCAAGCUCCCCGUGCUGCCGCUCGACUUGCAUGUGUUAGGCCUGCCGCCAGCGUUCAAUCUGAGCCAGAAUCAAACUCUGA